This 481-nucleotide ribosomal RNA is filed under the name uncultured bacterium. RNAcentral describes it as "partial 16S ribosomal RNA". It matches the Rfam family "Bacterial small subunit ribosomal RNA", at positions 28 to 507 of the family's 1533-position model. The record is from RNAcentral.
GACGAACGUUGGCGGCGUGCUUAAUACAUGCAAGUCAACCGAAGCAGUGGUAGCAAUAUCGCUGUGGAGGUGGCGCACGGGUGAGUAACACGUAGGUAAUCUGCCUUCAGGUCUGGCAUAACUCCGGGAAACCGGGGCUAAUAGCAGAUGAUGCAGCGGCUCGACAUCGAGACAGUUGUUAAAGCUAUGGCGCCUGAAGAUGAGCCUGCGUCUGAUUAGCUAGUUGGCGGGGUAACGGCCCACCAAGGCAACGAUCAGUAGCUGGUCUGAGAGGAUGAUCAGCCACACUGGAACUGAGACACGGUCCAGACUCCUACGGGAGGCAGCAGUAAGGAAUAUUGCUCAAUGGGAGAAAUCCUGAAGCAGCAACGCCGCGUGAGGGACGAAGGGCUUUUGCUUGUAAACCUCUGUAGUGAGAGAAAAAAAUCCCAAUCUUUGGGACAUGAUGGUAUCUCAAAAGUAAGCCCCGGCUAACUACGUG